This 254-nucleotide ribosomal RNA is filed under the name uncultured bacterium. Its description in RNAcentral is "partial 16S ribosomal RNA". It matches the Rfam family "Bacterial small subunit ribosomal RNA", at positions 524 to 776 of the family's 1533-position model. The record is from RNAcentral.
UACAGAGGUCUCAAGCGUUGUUCGGAUUCAUUGGGCGUAAAGGGUGUGUAGGUGGCGCCGUAAGUCGGGUGUGAAAUUUCGGAGCUUAACUCCGAAACUGCAUUCGAUACUGCGGUGCUUGAGGACUGGAGAGGAGACUGGAAUUCAUGGUGUAGCAGUGAAAUGCGUAGAGAUCAUGAGGAAGACCAGUGGCGAAGGCGGGUCUCUGGACAGUUCCUGACACUGAGACACGAAGGCCAGGGGAGGCAAACGGG